GCCUUAUUACCCGUAUCCAAACAAGCCGACACCUUAUUGUAAACCCAAUCGAAACUCCAGCAGUGCCGGAGCUUCCCCGAGAUCCCUCAGACGACUCCUCACCGGAAACCGACCUUACCCUCUCUCCAACCCAUCCGUCAAACCACAUUAACGAUCCACAAAAUUAUUCUGAAAACCACUUCCCACAAUCAUCCGAAACCCAGUCUCCACCACUCAAUACGACACUCGACGCCCCCGUUUCAGACUCUUAAGACUAUUCGUCCGACCGAUCGCCGAAGACAACCUUGGCGAACAACCCCCAAACCCCAAUUCUACAGACCCUGGUCCGCCACCAAAACGACGACCGUAGGAAGCGUUUCUUCACCAAAAUCAAUGGCAACCCAUCCUUCCUCCGCCAGAGGAUAGCCGGAGGCCAGUCCAAAGAAGUCGACGUCGAAGCAUUGAUUGCAAUAUCCAUAGGUUUUCCUGUGGAUUCGCUCACCGAAGAAGAAAUGGAACCAAAUGUGGUGUCUACAAUUGGCGGCACCGAGCAAGCUAACUAUAUUGUUGUGAGGAACUACAUUCUUGCUCGCUGGAGAUCAAAUGUGUCGAUUUGGCUGACUCGUGAUCACGCUUUUGAGUCAAUACGAGCCGAGUACAAAAUUCUGCUUAUAACUUUCUACUAGAACAUGGCUACAUCAACUUCGGGUUCGCUCCUGCUGUUAAAGAGGCGCAAAUGGUGUUGCAUGAACGGGCUGAUAGAGCCAGUGUGGUUGUUGUAGGUGCGGGUCUCGCUGUGCUAGUUGCAGCGAGGCAGCUAGUGGCUAUGGGUUUUAAAGUGGUCGUCUUGGAAGGUAGAGCACGGCCAGGUGGUCGUGUCAAAGCGAGGAAGAUAAAGGGCGAUGAGUGGUGGCUGCAGCAGAUGUUGGUGGGAGUGUUCUUACUGGAAUCAAUGGGAACCCGCUUGGAGUUCUUGCAAGGCAAUUGGGUUUAUCACGUCAUAAGGUUAGAGAUAUUUGCCCUUUGUAUUUACCUGAUGGGAAGGCUGUUGAUUCAGAGAUUGAUUCUAGGGUAGAGAUUUCGUUUAACAAGUUGUUAGAGUUUGUAAGCUUAGGCUGGCCAUGAUUGAGGAAGUUAAAUCUGUUGAUGUUAACUUGGGCACUGCUCUUGAAGCUUUUAGGCAUGCACUUAAAGUAGCUAAGGAUUCACAAGAGAGAAUGCUAUUGAAUUGGCAUCUCGCAAAUUUAGAAUAUGCAAAUGCUUCAUUAAUGUCUAAUUUGUCUAUGGCGUAUUGGGAUCAGGAUGAUCCAUAUGAGAUGGGAGGUGACCAUUGUUUUAUUCCUGGAGGUAAUGAUACUUUUGUUAAAGAACUUGCUAUGGAUCUGCCCAUUUUCUAUGAAAGGACUGUAGAGAGUAUUAGGUAUGGAGUUGAUGGGGUUAUUGUUUAUGCAAGUGGGCAGGUGUUUCGUGGUGACAUGGCGCUCUGUACAGUGCCAUUGGGUGUGCUUAAGAAGGGAACUAUUGAAUUUGUGCCUGAGCUUCCACAAAGAAAGAAAGAUGCAAUUCAGAGAUUGGGAUAUGGGCUGUUAAAUAAGGUGGCACUGUUGUUUCCCUAUAAUUUUUGGGGAGGAGAGAUUGAUACAUUCGGGCAUUUGACAGAAGAUUCAAGCAUGAGAGGUGAAUUCUUUCUGUUUUAUAGUUAUUCUUCUGUUUCAGGGGGUCCGCUUCUAAUUGCUCUUGUUGCUGGGGAUGCUGCAGUUAAGUUUGAGACAAUGUCUCCAGUGGAGUCUGUUAAAAGGGUCCUAGAAAUAUUGCGGGGUAUUUUCCAUCCAAAAGGGAUUGUUGUUCCAGAUCCAGUUCAGGCAGUCUGUACCCGCUGGGGGAAAGAUUGCUUCACAUAUGGGUCUUAUUCUUAUGUUGCAGUUGGAUCUUCAGGAGAUGAUUAUGAUAUUCUUGCUGAGAGCAUUGGAGAUGGAAGGGUUUUCUUUGCGGGAGAGGCAACAAACAAACAGUAUCCAGCAACAAUGCAUGGAGCAUUUCUAAGUGGAAUGAGAGAGGCUGCUAACAUAUUGAGAGUGGCCAAGAGGAGGUCUUUGGCUCUGACCAGCAAAUUAAACAAUGACAUUGAGGAAAGUGAUGAUUUAACUAAAUUAUAUGACACCCCUGAUCUGAUAUUUGGGAGCUUCUCUAUUCUGUUUGAUCCCAGGUCUAAUGAUCUUGAAUCCCUUUCAUUAUUAAGGGUCAAAUUCCAAGGACCAAAAUUGGAUUCUUGCUUGCUGUGUCUUUAUGGUUUGAUUUCCAGGAAGCAGGCCAUUGAACUAAGUGAGUUAGAUGAUGAUGUAAAGAGGAUGGAAAUGUUAUAUCACAACUUUCAAGUAAGGUUGGUUGCUAGGAAAGGCUUAUCCGAUGAUGGGGAUUCCCUUAUAAUGCACAUCAAGGCAUCUAGAUCCAGUCUAAGUGUUGGGAUUUGAGAUGAUGCAGGGCAUUAAAACAGAAAGUCUUUCUUUUGUUGUCCUAUGAGUGAAGGUGGCUAACUAUUGGCUUCUCCAAAAUUUGACUUUUCUUUGGAGCCGGAUUAAUUUAGUUCAGAGACAAUUAUUUGGGUAAAUAGUUCAGAGGCAGUGGUCCUCCUUCACCUUCAGUUGUCAAACUUGCUGCUCCUUUGUCAGAAAUUACUUCCAAGGAACGAGUGUAGUAUAAAAGUUUUAGGUCAGUCAGCUGUUAUGAAAAUUUGGAGAAUUCCAUCAUUUCCAAUCUUGAAUUCUGGUGAUAUAAGCAAGAGAAAGAUUUAGGCUUGGAUAGGAUUAGGAGCAUUGAGGAGAUUCACUUGUUUUCCUCAAGUUCUUGAUCAUAUGUAGAUCAGUGCUUGUUUAGUUGAUGAGAAGAGAUUCAAUUCCAGGUGCUGGCUGCUUUUUCUGGAGGUGGUUGAAAUGACUGGUCUUGUAGGAGCAAGUGUGCAACUUUUUGGUCAGCUUCUAUGGGCAUCAAUGUGCAAAUGCAAGUAUUGGUCUGGUAGGUGGAAUAUGGAUGUUGAUAUCGUGUAGCGCCUGAAUCCUGCUUGAAGUGCUGAAUAUCUGCCUAUGCUGAGCAUUCUUCCAUUUCAGUUAUUCUAAAUUAAUAUUACUGAGUAACAAACAUGCAAGUCUAGUUUACAUCAGUACUACGCAAAUUUUGACUUGAAUGUAAAGUCCAUACUAUUUUACGUGGAACUGACAAAGCUGCCGAGAUAUUGCUGAAUUUUUUAAUGUUUUAUAUUUUAUUUAAAAAGCAAUGGUUAUUCUUAUUUUAAGCAAAUUAAAAAAAAAAAUGUUUUUAUUUUUCUGUUUGUAAAUCUUUUGCUUUGACCUGCGAAGCAUGGAAAUGCCAAUCACCGGUGUUUCCCCAUCUUGCAAACGUUUUAGGACAAAAACGGCAAGACAGGCCAACUGCAGACGACGCGUUUGUUAGAAGUUUAAAAUCGCAUCGACGCAAAGUCGCAUACUAGAGCCUUGAUGCUACGAGGAUCGCUGAUUCCGGAACAGUCGCAGCAGUUAAGAAGAAAUUGAUGUUGUGGCUGUCCUUUUUUUAAUUUAGUUGUUAUUGUGAGUGUGGUUGGCGGUCGGCUAAGUAUGUGGCUAUAGUGUAAUGGGCUUAUUGUAUAAAGGGCCCAAAUCUAAUUUGAAGUUUUUUAUUUUUAUUUUU
RNAcentral lists this unclassified non-coding RNA (3660 nucleotides) under Hevea brasiliensis (rubber tree). The record is from RNAcentral. Lineage: Eukaryota; Viridiplantae; Streptophyta; Magnoliopsida; Malpighiales; Euphorbiaceae.